Long non-coding RNA from Drosophila sechellia, 1314 nucleotides. RefSeq lists it as uncharacterized. The transcript has 2 exons. NCBI's taxonomy places the organism in Eukaryota, Metazoa, Arthropoda, Insecta, Diptera, Drosophilidae. The record is from RefSeq and is a predicted model, not a curated record.
AGUCGAGCCCAAAUGGCAACCUUAUAUGUGCUAUCGCACUUAUUUGGUAACGACCCAUUAUAGCCAAUUUCAAAACCUAUCAAAAUUGAAUAUUGCCCUAUAAAAAUACUACAAAAUUCCAGAGUAGGAUUGUAGCAAGCCACGGUCACAUUUGAUUUGCAUAUUUCCGGUCUCUUUUCGUGAAGCCUUGAUCGAGUGCAGUUUAACUUUUUGUAAAAUUUAUGAUUAAAAAUCCACGAACAUCGAGUGGUUUGGAUAAGUGUUUUUCAAGGCAAAUAUUGCCAAGUGAUCAUUUAAAUCGCUAUCUAAUUUUAACUGCGCCGCUGCCGGUCCCACAUUUUGAGGGAGAAUUCUUAGUGGCUGCGUCGCCAAGGCUUGUAUUGACAAAAUUCACAACUGCUUGCCUCAGGAGCACCCACCGCGUGCAGCGGAAAGCUGGGCUUCUCCUUUUCUGCUGCCGACGGAUCGCAACCCCCCUCUAGUUGGCGUUCUUUUUUUUACUCUUCAUCGCCGCAAACAAGAAGCAGAUCGUCGUGCAUCCAUUUUAUGCACUCGUCAGCUUUGUGUGCUUCUUUUUCGUCGUUUUCGUCGCACACAUCGAAUCAGCGUCACUUCUUCUUCAUCCGUGCGCAUUCCGAUAAUAUUUGUGCACAACACGAGCCCCAGGCUGCUGGCUGCGUAUGCUGCGACCCUGAAGCAGUCACGACACGAAUGAUCGUGUUCAGUAUUAAGUAUCUUUAGAAUAGUUUUUCAUACUUGUGUUAAUUUUACCUAAGAAUAUUUACUUAUAAACCUCUACGAUUUUAAUUUAGCUUAACUUGUGGGAGAUCUGACAAGUAUACAUAUAUAUAUGUGAUUUCCCCAAUUUAUAUUAAUACAUACAGCAAAUCAUCAACAGUCAUCAGGCCUGCUGACAUCGAUGGAAAGUGCGUGAGUACAGAACAAAAACAAUAAAAACACACAUGCAUAUAUAAUGUCAGAUAUUCCUAAAUAGUUUGAUUGAAAUACCUUGCCUUAAUUUAUCGUAUUUCUAGAUCUCUUAAUUUAAAGAAGUUUAAAGUUUAAAUAUUCAUUAAUCAUACAUAAUUCUAAUGUAAAGUAAGCAAAACAAACAAAAUUAGUAAUGUAAGCUUAAAUACCAACAUUUUCAUUCCUAUCUUAAUUAUUUUUCCUUCAUUUUGUCGUAGAUAAUCAAAAUUACCCAAUAAGAGAUUUCCUUAACGUAAAUAACGUAAUUUUUAGGUUAAGGAUUAGGUUUAGGAAAAUGUAUCGGAAUAUUAUCUUUAUCUUCAAUUAUAUGGGGUCCAAAAUGAA